UCCAGGGGAAGAAAGAAGUCUUUUCAGAGAGCACGACUUUGCACCAGGUUCUCUGCCAGGAGUCAUGGGGCUUUUGGAUGCCCUGGAGAGGUCACAUCACAUUGUGGUAGAGAUGCAUCCAAAUGAAUACAUGAGAAGUCUUAACAAUGCACAUGGGCAUGAACUUUCUAACAGACAAAUUGCCCUCUGAAGCUGUAACAGGUCACACACAUCCCACUUCCACUGGCAAGAGGAUGCGAUGGCUCUGAGCUCAGCCCUCAAGAAAAAGGAGCAAUUCCUUGAGUUCACCCUCUGGGAUCUCCCAGCAAGAAAGCCCAUAGAGACCUGCCAGGAGAAAUGGGUCUGCACCCUGCAAAGGGAAGGUACAGCCUUUCACUCAA
This is a non-coding RNA of Lonchura striata (white-rumped munia), 380 nucleotides long. The record is from RefSeq and is a predicted model, not a curated record. NCBI's taxonomy places the organism in Eukaryota, Metazoa, Chordata, Aves, Passeriformes, Estrildidae.